Molecule: ribosomal RNA, 119 nt
Filed under: Naegleria gruberi
Lineage: Eukaryota; Heterolobosea; Eutetramitea; Acrasida; Naegleriidae
Source: RNAcentral
GGCUACGGCCAUAUCACGAUGAAUGCACCUCAUCCCGUCCGAUUUGAGAAGUUAAGCAUCGUCGAGCCACAUCAGUACUGAGGUUGGAGACAACUUGGGAACCUGUGAAGCUGUAGUCU